Molecule: ribosomal RNA, 429 nt
Filed under: uncultured anaerobic ammonium-oxidizing bacterium
Lineage: Bacteria
Description: bacterial SSU rRNA
Rfam family: Bacterial small subunit ribosomal RNA
Source: RNAcentral
GUGAACGAGCGACGCCGCGUGGAGGACGAAGGCCUUCGGGUUGUAAACUCCUGUCGAGGGGAAGGAAGGGGCGGUGCAGAGCCGUCCUUGACCGAUCCCUGGAGGAAGCACGGGCUAAGUUCGUGCCAGCAGCCGCGGUAAGACGAACCGUGCGAACGUUAUUCGGAAUCACUGGGCUUAAAGCGCGUGUAGGCGGGUCGCCACGUCGGAUGUUGAAAUCCCCCGGCUCAACCGGGGAAUAGGCACCGAUACGAGCGGCCUGGAGGGGAGUAGGGGGACCUGGAACUUCCGGUGGAGCGGUGAAAUGCGUUGAGAUCGGAAGGAACGCCCGUGGCGAAAGCGAGGUCCUGGGCUCUUACUGACGCUGAGACGCGAAAGCCAGGGGAGCAAACGGGAUUAGAUACCCCGGUAGUCCUGGCUGUAAACGAU